AGAUUGAACGCUGGCGGCAUGCUUUACACAUGCAAGUCGAACGGCAGCGCGGGGCAACCUGGCGGCGAGUGGCGAACGGGUGAGUAAUAUAUCGGAACGUACCCAAGAGUGGGGGAUAACGUAGCGAAAGUUACGCUAAUACCGCAUACGAUCUAAGGAUGAAAGCAGGGGGACCGCAAGGCCUUGUGCUCCUGGAGCGGCCGAUAUCUGAUUAGCUAGUUGGUAGGUAAAGGCCUACCAAGGCUACGAUCCGUAACUGGUCUGAGAGGAUGAUCAGUCACACUGGAACUGAGACACGGUCCAGACUCCUACGGGAGCAGCAGUGGGGAAUAUUGGACAAUGGGCGAAAGCCUGAUCCAGCCAUGCCGCGUGUGUGAAGAAGGUCUUCGGAUUGUAAAGCACUUUAAGUUGGAGGAAGGCAUUAACCUAAUACGUUAGUGUUUUGACGUUACCGACAGAAUAAGCACCGGCUAACUCUGUCGCCAGCAGCCGA
RNAcentral lists this ribosomal RNA (493 nucleotides) under uncultured soil bacterium. RNAcentral's name for it is "bacterial SSU rRNA". It matches the Rfam family "Bacterial small subunit ribosomal RNA", at positions 26 to 518 of the family's 1533-position model. The record is from RNAcentral.